GAUGAACGCUGGCGGCGUGCCUAAUACAUGCAAGUCGAGCGAACAGACGAGGAGCUUGCUCCUCUGACGUUAGCGGCGGACGGGUGAGUAACACGUGGAUAACCUACCUAUAAGACUGGGAUAACUUCGGGAAACCGGAGCUAAUACCGGAUAAUAUAUUGAACCGCAUGGUUCAAUAGUGAAAGACGGUUUUGCUGUCACUUAUAGAUGGAUCCGCGCCGCCUUAGCUAGUUGGUAAGGUAACGGCUUACCAAGGCGACGAUGCGUAGCCGACCUGAGAGGGGGACGGCCCAGACGGGAAUGGACACCCGGCCAGGACACAUCGGGGGGGCAGCAGUGGGAGUUUUUCGAAAAGGGCAAAAGCCCGGAGGGAGCACCGCCGGGGGGGGGAAAAGGGUCUUGGAAUCAAAAACCUGUUUUAUGGGGAAAAAAAAAUUGGGAACGUAACAAGGCGCUUUUGGCGGGACCCUAACAAAAACACCCCGACAACCUCGGCC
Molecule: ribosomal RNA, 497 nt
Filed under: uncultured bacterium
Lineage: Bacteria
Description: partial 16S ribosomal RNA
Rfam family: Bacterial small subunit ribosomal RNA
Source: RNAcentral